RNAcentral lists this ribosomal RNA (255 nucleotides) under uncultured bacterium. RNAcentral's name for it is "partial 16S ribosomal RNA". It matches the Rfam family "Bacterial small subunit ribosomal RNA", at positions 524 to 776 of the family's 1533-position model. The record is from RNAcentral.
UACGUAGGGUGCGAGCGUUUGUCCGGAAUUAUUGGGCGUAAAGAGCUCGUAGGCGGUGUGUCACGUCGGCCGUGAAAACCUGCAGCUUAACUGUGGGCGUGCGGUCGAUACGGGCAUCACUGGAGUUCGGCAGGGGAGACUGGAAUUCCUGGUGUAGCGGUGAAAUGCGCAGAUAUCAGGAGGAACACCCGUGGCUAAGGCGGCUCUCUAGUACGGUACUGACGCUGAGACGCGAAAGCGUGGGGAGCGAACAGG